AGUUGAGUGCAGCUACUUGGCCCCUGUCAUCCUGGGAUCCAAUUACUCCCACUGCUUUUGGACUUUCCAGUUGAGUGACUGCAUUUCCACUGUAAAGUCUGGCCUACGGAGAAGAGUAAUCACAAUGCUCAUCAAGGAUGCUGGAGCUCCCGUCACAAACUUUUUUCUCAAAGUAUUGGUGAAAGGCAGAGGGAACUGCAUGUGCCAAAGCCUUUCAGUUAAAUUAGGUUGGUGCACUACGUGACUUAAGAUAGGACC
Molecule: long non-coding RNA, 258 nt
Filed under: Equus caballus (horse)
Lineage: Eukaryota; Metazoa; Chordata; Mammalia; Perissodactyla; Equidae
Description: lncRNA (ENSECAG00000046602.1)
Source: RNAcentral